This 285-nucleotide ribosomal RNA is filed under the name uncultured bacterium. RNAcentral describes it as "partial 16S ribosomal RNA". It matches the Rfam family "Bacterial small subunit ribosomal RNA", at positions 334 to 636 of the family's 1533-position model. The record is from RNAcentral.
UGACCCUACGGGGCGCAGCAGUGGGGAAUAUUGCACAAUGGGGGAAACCCUGAUGCAGCGACGCCGCGUGAAGGAAGAAGUAUUUCGGUAUGUAAACUUCUAUCAGCAGGGAAGAAAAUGACGGUACCUGACUAAGAAGCCCCGGCUAACUACGUGCCAGCAGCCGCGGUAAUACGUAGGGGGCAAGCGUUAUCCGGAUUUACUGGGUGUAGAGGGAGCGUAGGCGGUGCAGCAAGUCAGAAGUGAAAGCCCGGGGCUCAACUCCGGGACUGCUUUUGGAACUGU